UACGUAGGGGGCAAGCGUUAUCCGGAAUUACUGGGUGUAAAGGGAGCGUAGACGGUAAUGUAAGUCUGGAGUGAAAGGCGGGGGCCCAACCCCCGGACUGCUCUGGAAACUAUGUUACUAGAGUGCAGGAGAGGUAAGCGGAAUUCCUAGUGUAGCGGUGAAAUGCGUAGAUAUUAGGAAGAACACCAGUGGCGAAGGCGGCUUGCUGGACAGUAACUGACGUUGAGGCUCGAAAGCGUGGGGAGCAAACAGG
This 253-nucleotide ribosomal RNA is filed under the name uncultured bacterium. RNAcentral's name for it is "partial 16S ribosomal RNA". It matches the Rfam family "Bacterial small subunit ribosomal RNA", at positions 524 to 776 of the family's 1533-position model. The record is from RNAcentral.